AGCAUAUCAAUAAGCGGAGGAAAAGAAACUAACAAGGAUUCCCCUAGUAACUGCGAGUGAAGCGGGAUGAGCUCAAAUUUAAAAUCUGGCGUCUUCGGCGUCCGAGUUGUAAUUUAGAGAAGCGUUUUCCGCACCGGACCGUGUACAAGUCUCCUGGAACGGAGCGUCAUAGAGGGUGAGAAUCCCGUCUUUGACACGGACCCCCGGUGCUCUGUGAUACGCUCUCGAAGAGUCGAGUUGUUUGGGAAUGCAGCUCAAAAUGGGUGGUGAACUCCAUCUAAAGCUAAAUAUUGGCGAGAGACCGAUAGCGAACAAGUACCGUGAGGGAAAGAUGAAAAGCACUUUGGAAAGAGAGUGAAACAGUACGUGAAAUUGUUGAAAGGGAAACGCUUGAAGUCAGUCGCGUCCGCCGGGAUUCAGCCUUCGGGUGUACUUUCCGGUGGACGGGCCAGCAUCACUUUCAAUCAUCGGACAAGGUCGAGAGGAAUGUGGCACCUUCGGGUGUGUUAUAGCCUCUUGUCGUAUACGGUGACUGGGAGUGAGGACCGCCUUUGUAGGAUGCUGGCGUAAUGGCUUUAAACGACCCGUCUUGAAACACGGACCAAGGAGUCUAACAUGCCCGCGAGUGUUUGGGUGGAAAACCCAUGCGCGUAAUGAAAGUGAAAGUUGGGAAGGCUGUCGCGGCCUGCACCGACGCCCGGACUCGAGAUUUAUCUAAGGUUCUGCGGUAGAGCGUGUAUGUUGGGACCCGAAAGAUGGUGAACUAUGCCUGAAUAGGGUGAAGCCAGAGGAAACUCUGGUGGAGGCUCGUAGCGAUUCUGACGUGCAAAUCGAUCGUCAAAUUUGGGUAUAGGGGCGAAAGACUAAUCGAAACCAUCUAGUAGCUGGGUUCCUGCCGA
This 899-nucleotide ribosomal RNA is filed under the name Peniophora cinerea. Its description in RNAcentral is "LSU rRNA". It matches the Rfam family "Eukaryotic large subunit ribosomal RNA", at positions 37 to 964 of the family's 3401-position model. The record is from RNAcentral. Lineage: Eukaryota; Fungi; Basidiomycota; Agaricomycetes; Russulales; Peniophoraceae.